GAUUAACGCUGGCGGCGUGCCUAACACAUGCAAGUCGAACGAUGAAACUUAAAUGAUUUCUUCGGAAUGAACUCAAGUGGAUUAGGGGCGGCCGGGUGAGUAACGCGUGAGUAACCUGCCUUACACACGGGGAUAGCCGUUGGAAACGACGAAUAAUAUUCAAUGAAACUAUCACUUCGCAUGAAGCGAUAGUCACAGGGUUAGCGGUGUAAGCUGGACUUGCGUCUGAUUAGCUAGAUGGUGAGACAAAAGCCCACGAAGGCAACGAUCAGUAGCCGGCAUGAGAGAGUGUACGGACACACUGAGACUGAGCAACGGCCCAGAAUCCUACGGAAGGCAGCAGUGGGGAAUUUUGCACAAUGGGGGAAGCCAUGAUGCAGCGACGCCGCGAGAUUUAGAAGACCUUCGGGUUGUAAAUGUCUAUUGUAUAGGGAGAAUCUGAACGUACUCUACGAAUAAGGUCCGGCUAAAUACGUG
RNAcentral lists this ribosomal RNA (477 nucleotides) under uncultured bacterium. Its description in RNAcentral is "partial 16S ribosomal RNA". It matches the Rfam family "Bacterial small subunit ribosomal RNA", at positions 28 to 507 of the family's 1533-position model. The record is from RNAcentral.